Molecule: ribosomal RNA, 586 nt
Filed under: uncultured bacterium
Lineage: Bacteria
Description: partial 16S ribosomal RNA
Rfam family: Bacterial small subunit ribosomal RNA
Source: RNAcentral
UGGGGAAUUUUGGACAAUGGGCGAAAGCCUGAUCCAGCAAUGCCGCGUGUGUGAAGAAGGCCUUCGGGUUGUAAAGCACUUUUGUCCGGAAAGAAAUCCUUGGCUCUAAUACAGUCGGGGGAUGACGGUACCGGAAGAAUAAGCACCGGCUAACUACGUGCCAGCAGCCGCGGUAAUACGUAGGGUGCAAGCGUUAAUCGGAAUUACUGGGCGUAAAGCGUGCGCAGGCGGUUUGCUAAGACCGAUGUGAAAUCCCCGGGCUCAACCUGGGAACUGCAUUGGUGACUGGCAGGCUAGAGUAUGGCAGAGGGGGGUAGAAUUCCACGUGUAGCAGUGAAAUGCGUAGAGAUGUGGAGGAAUACCGAUGGCGAAGGCAGCCCCCUGGGCCAAUACUGACGCUCAUGCACGAAAGCGUGGGGAGCAAACAAGAUUAGAUACCCUGGUAGUCCACGCCCUAAAACGAUGUCAACUAGUUGUUGGGGAUUCAUUUCCUUAGUAACGUAGCUAACGCGUGAAGUUGACCGCCUGGGGAGUACGGUCGCAAGAUUAAAACUCAAAUGAAUUGACGGGGUCAUAGCUGUUUCCU